GAAAUGCGAUAAGUAGUGUGAAUUGCAGAAUUCAGUGAAUCAUCGAAUCUUUGAACGCACAUUGCGCCCCUCGGUAUUCCGUGGGGCACGCCUGUUCGAGCGUCAUUUACACCCUCAAGCCCAGCUUGGUGUUGGGCGUCUGUCCCGCUCCCGUAGCGCGGACUCGCCUCAAAGUCAUUGGCGGCGGUCGUGCCGGCUCCUCGCGCAGCACAUUUGCGCUUCUCGGAGGCCCGGCGGAUCAGCACCCAGCAAGCUACCCUUUAUGACUUGACCUCGGAUCAGGUGAGGAUACCCGCUGAACUUAA
RNAcentral lists this unclassified non-coding RNA (305 nucleotides) under uncultured Periconia. RNAcentral's name for it is "sequence contains ITS1". The stretch from base 1 to 105 matches the Rfam family "5.8S ribosomal RNA", at positions 50 to 154 of the family's 154-position model. The record is from RNAcentral. Lineage: Eukaryota; Fungi; Ascomycota; Sordariomycetes; Microascales; Halosphaeriaceae.